Long non-coding RNA from Vitis vinifera (wine grape), 484 nucleotides. RefSeq lists it as uncharacterized. The record is from RefSeq and is a predicted model, not a curated record. The transcript has 2 exons. Lineage: Eukaryota; Viridiplantae; Streptophyta; Magnoliopsida; Vitales; Vitaceae.
AUUCAAACCAUAUGUUGCAAAAAGUUGGAGCUACUGAGCUUCAAUGGUGUCGGUGAUGGUGUCUGGUUUACUGCCCAGUUCAGAGAGGCUGGAGAGGCUAGAGCUGGAGUCACUGCGGCUAUGGCUACGGCUCCUGUGGUGGCGACACCUGAAAGAUCCGACAUGGGUUGUGGGCGAGCAAAGGCAAUUGGCCCUGGCACUAGAUGGCUUUGCAGUGCAACUUUGGGCAGUUGGUGACAGUGGGGAAGCAAAGGUUAAGUGAAUGAAAAAGAGUAGCAGAGGCAGGUGGUCACCUGAAAAAAGUUGCAAGGCAAUUCAACCCAAAGGUCUUCGGAUGGUCUCCUGAGGAGAUGAAUGGGAGAGAGCCCAAAUUAAAGUGGGGUUUCUUCUUUUCUUUUUAAGUGCAUAGAAAUAUGAGAUUCAAAUGAGAAUAUGAACCAAAUUCAGAGAUGCUGUUAGUAGCUUAAUUUUAGAUUUCCAACUA